RNAcentral lists this transfer RNA (75 nucleotides) under Acidobacteriota bacterium. RNAcentral describes it as "tRNA-Gly". It matches the Rfam family "tRNA". Rfam says of the family: Transfer RNA (tRNA) molecules are approximately 80 nucleotides in length. Their secondary structure includes four short double-helical elements and three loops (D, anti-codon, and T loops). The record is from RNAcentral. Lineage: Bacteria; Pseudomonadati; Acidobacteriota.
GUGGACGUAGCUCAGCCAAGUGUAGAGCGCCGGCCUGCCUUGCCGGAGGCGCGGGUUCGAUUCCCGUCGUCCACU